RNAcentral lists this long non-coding RNA (1817 nucleotides) under Pelobates cultripes (western spadefoot toad). The stretch from base 1095 to 1817 matches the Rfam family "Bacterial small subunit ribosomal RNA", at positions 1 to 1237 of the family's 1533-position model. The record is from RNAcentral. Lineage: Eukaryota; Metazoa; Chordata; Amphibia; Anura; Pelobatidae.
AUUUCUACGAAAUCACGCGCGUAUAUAACAGUAGAUUUUUUUAAGCUUUCUUUAUCUUGUCCCUAUAGGUGUUAAUUUCUACGAAAUCACGCGCGUAUAUAACAUUAGAUUUUUUUAAGCUUUCUUUAUCUUGUCCCUAUAGGUGUUAAUUUCUACGAAAUCACGCGCGUAUAUAACAUUAGAUUUUUUUAAGCUUUCUUUAUCUUGUCCCUAUAGGUGUUAAUUUCUACGAAAUCACGCGCGUAUAUAACAUUAGAUUUUUUUAAGCUUUCUUUAUCUUGUCCCUAUAGGUGUUAAUUUCUACGAAAUCACGCGCGUAUAUAACAUUAGAUUUUUUUAUCAACUGUCCUAUAGGUGUUAAUUUCUACGAGGAAAUCACGCGCGUGUAUAUAACAUUAGAUUUUUUAAACUUUUCUUUAUCAUCCCUAUAGGUGUUAAUUUCUACGAAAUCACGCGCUGUAUAUAACGUCCCCGAUUUUUUAAAGCUUUCUUUUGUAUCUUGUCCCUAUAGAUUAUUGUUAAUUUCUACGAAAUCACGCGCGUAUAUAACGUGGAAUUUUUAAGCUUUCUUUAUCUUGUCCCUAUAGGUGUUAAUUUCUACGAAAUCACGCGCGUAUAUAAUAUUAGAUUUUUUUAUGCUUUCUUUAUCUUGUCCCUAUAGGUGUUAAUUUCUACGAAAUCACGCGCGUAUAUAACAUUAGAUUUUUUUAAGCUUUCUUUAUCUUGUCCCUAUAGGUGUUAAUUUCUUCUAAAUCACGCGCGUAUAUAACAUUAGAUUUUUUUAAGCUUUCUUUAUCUUGUCCCUAUAGGUGUUAAUUUCUACGAAAUCACGCGCGUAUAUAACAUUAGAUUUUUUUAAGCUUUCUUUAUCUUGUCCCUAUAGGUGUUAAUUUCUACCAAAUCACGCGCGUAUAUAACAUUAGAUUUUUUUAAGCUUUCUUUAUCUUGUCCCUAUAGGUGUUAAUUUCUACGAAAUCACGCGCGUAUAUAACAUUAGAUUUUUUUAAGCUUUCUUUAUCUUGUCCCUAUAGGUUAUUGUAGCUUAAAUAAAGCACAGCACUGAAGAUGCUGAGAUGGGCCCUAAAAAGCCCCAACAACACAAAGGUCUGGUCCUAGCCUUACUAUCAGCUUUUACUAAAAUUACACAUGCAAGUAUCCGCACCCCUGUGAAAAUGCCCCAAUUCUCCUAAUUAGAGAUGAAGGAGCUGGUAUCAGGCCCAUAAGCCCAAGACACCUAGCUUUGCCACACCCCCAAGGGAACUCAGCAGUGAUAAACAUUAAAAAUUAGCGUUAAGCUAGAUUUAGUUAUAGUAAAAAAAGUCGGUUAAUUUCGUGCCAGCCACCGCGGUUAUACGGGAGACUUAAACUGAUAAUUUUCGGCGUAAAGCGUGAUUAAUAGGUAACCUCAUUAAGGUGAAAUUAAGGCCUAGCCGUUAUACGCUUCCGCCUUAAAGAAAACCAACUACGAAAGUGACCUUAACCCUUUUGAACUCACGACAGCUGGGUCACAAACUGGGAUUAGAUACCCCACUAUGCCCAGCCUUAAACUUUGAUAACUUACAAUUCUCUCCGCCAGGGAACUACGAGCGCUAGCUUAAAACCCAAAAGACUUGGCGGUGCCCUACACCCACCUAGAGGAGCCUGUUCUAUAAUCGAUACCCCCCGCUUUACCUCACCAAUUUUUGCCAAAUCCGCCUGUAUACCGCCGUCGCCAACUUACCCUUUGAAGGUCAAAAAGUAAGUAUAAUGGUCUCUCACCAGAACGUCAGGUCAAGGUGCAGCGAAUGAAUUGGAUAGAAAUGGGCUACAUUUUCAAA